RNAcentral lists this unclassified non-coding RNA (253 nucleotides) under uncultured Ktedonobacteraceae bacterium. Its description in RNAcentral is "contains 16S-23S intergenic spacer region". It matches the Rfam family "Bacterial small subunit ribosomal RNA", at positions 524 to 776 of the family's 1533-position model. The record is from RNAcentral. Lineage: Bacteria; Bacillati; Chloroflexota; Ktedonobacteria; Ktedonobacterales; Ktedonobacteraceae.
UACGUAGGGGGCGAGCGUUGUCCGGAUUUAUUGGGCGUAAAGGGCGCGUAGGCGGUUUCUUAAGUUUGAAGUGACAGUGCUCGGCUUAACUGAGCAAGGCCUUUGAAAACUGGGGAACUUGAGGACCAGAGAGGGACAUAGAAUUCCGGGUGGAGUGGUGAAAUGCGCAGAUAUCCGGAGGAAUACCAAAGGCGAAGGCAGUGUCCUGGAGGGUGACUGACGCUGAGGCGCGAAAGCGUGGGGAGCGAACAGG